ACGGCUCAGUAACACGUGGCUAAUCUGCCCUUGGGACUAGAACAUCCCCGGGAAACUGGGGCUAAUUCUUGAUAGGUGAAGAACUCUGGAAUGAGUCUUCGCUUAAAAGACGUUUACGUUAUGCUCGUAGGCGUUGCCCAAGGAUGAGGCCGCGACCGAUCAGGUUGUUGGUGAGGUAAUGGCUCACCAAGCCUUUUACCGGUGCGGGCCGUGAGAGCGGGAGCCCGGAGAUGGGCACUGAGACAAGGGCCCAGGCCCUACGGGGCGCAGCAGUCGCGAAAACUUUGCAAUACACGAAAGUGUGACAGGGCUAUCCCGAGUGCCAUCCGCUGAGGAAGGCUUUUACCCAGUCUAGAACGCUGGGGGAAUAAGGAGAGGGCAAGUCUGGUGUCAGCCGCCGCGGUAAUACCAGCUCUCCGAGUGGUGUGGAUGUUUAUUGGGCCUAAAGCAUCCGUAGCUGGCUAAGUUAGUCCCUUGUUAAAUCCACCGAAUUAAUCGUUGGAUUGCGGGGGAUACUGCUUGGCUAGGGGACGAGAGAGGCAGACGGUAUUUCCGGGGUAGGGGUGAAAUCCUAUAAUCCCGGGAAGACCACCAGUGGCGAAGGCUGUCUGCUAGAACGCGCCCGACGGUGAGGGAUGAAAGCUGGGGGAGCGAACCGGAUUAGAUACCCGGGUAGUCCCAGCUGUAAACGAUGCAGGCUAGGUGUUUGGACGGCCACGUGCCGUUCUAGUGCCGCAGGGAAGCUGUUAAGCCUGCCGCCUGGGGAGUACGAUCGCAAGAUUGAAACUUAAAGGAAUUGGCGGGGGAGCAC
RNAcentral lists this ribosomal RNA (811 nucleotides) under uncultured archaeon. RNAcentral describes it as "bacterial SSU rRNA". It matches the Rfam family "Archaeal small subunit ribosomal RNA", at positions 85 to 879 of the family's 1478-position model. The record is from RNAcentral.